GGGAAGAGAACUUUAUUUAGAAAGAAGAUGGCUUGAGGAUCAAGUUGCACACUACAGAGUCUACACAUGUGAUGAGCCAAUAUCAGAUUGAAAGCUAGAAAAUGCAUCUGCAAGCUCCAUGGCAUCUUGAACCCUUAAACGAGUUCCCUGUUGCCCGACCACUCUGGCUGCGAUUUUCGCUGCAAAUGUUCCCAUUUCUUUCAAAUCCGAGACUCCCUGAACAAUACCAUACAAAAUACCCGACGCAUAUGCAUCUCCAGCACCACAAGUGUCGAGAGGUACGCAUGGACAAGGCGGGAUAUACACUGCAUCUCCUUUAACACCUAUGUACGAACCUCUGUGCCCGUCUGUGACCGAGACGAGCGGAACAAAAUGACUUAGAUACCUUACAGCUGAUAUAGAGCUUUCCUUGGAGUCAAAAUGACAUAGAGCUGCUGCUUCUUCAUGGUUUGCAAAAACAAUAUCAGCAUAGUUUCCAACAAUUUCCCAAAAAUCGUCAAAAUGUCUUUCGACGCAGGAGACAUCUGAAGCUGUGACUGCAACUAGAGCACCGCUCCUGUGUGCUUCCUCACAUGCUUUUUGAAUCGUUU
This 590-nucleotide unclassified non-coding RNA is filed under the name Hevea brasiliensis (rubber tree). The record is from RNAcentral. Lineage: Eukaryota; Viridiplantae; Streptophyta; Magnoliopsida; Malpighiales; Euphorbiaceae.